UGUUAAAUGCAUUGAGAUUGACAAAGAGGCAAAGCUAUCUUUUGAGAAGACAGUUGGCGGCUUACCAAAGUCUAUAGAUGGUACCAUCAGAUGGCAUCAUGCAGACACUUCAAUUGGACCUCUUUCUUGGCUAGUGGGAUCAGGUGUAGUUGUUGUUGACCCUCCUAGAAAGGGGCUGGAUCCAUCUCUGGUUGAUGCACUACGGAGCUAUAUCAACUGAAAGGUCUUUUUCAAAGGUCAAGAACGAAAACGGACCAUGGAUUUUACGUGCAAAGGAAGCCUCGGUUCAGAUUGAAAGCAAAACAUCUCCAGAAGAGGGUCAGUCACUGCCUAAAACUCUCAUCUAUAUUAUUUGUGGAUGAGAAAGCUUCAAAGAGGAUUGUAAGUCAUUGUUGUCCUGUAAGGAAUGGCAUUUGGAUAAAGCCCAUGGUUUUAAUUUUUUUCCUGGAACCCAGAGGAACCUCUUCUUCAGCACUUUAACAAGGUGUGCUCUUGGCCAAAUUCCAUGCAGUUCAGUUGCCCCUAUGGCCAGACCGACAGAUGGUUCCACCCCCUUCAUCUACAACUGGGAAACCAUUGCACGUGGUGUUUCUCAGGACAUCGACAAUGCGGGCUAGCUUUUCCACUCCACUAUGGGGUAACUACUUGUGGCUUGGCAUGAUGCAUGCUCCCCAACAAUUAAAUUUCUCAUCCAUGGCUCAGGAUUCGCAUCCAAGAAAGGCAGGCCUUUGAGAUGCAGUAUUAUCUCAUAAAUGCUUGGGUUGAUGCAAUCACCAACACUUUUGGCUAUUAGAAGCACAAUCAUUGUUAUGGGUAGUAAGAGGAGGUUGUUUGUGAGUUCAAGGAAUAUGACACAGAGGGAAACAGUCAUCCUCAUUGAACCAGCCAUCAGGGAGGCUGCUCCAAGAACAGCAUAAAGCCCUUGGUCAAUUUUUGUAUAGAAGCCCAUGGCAAUACCAAGAAUGCAUGGGCAUUCUUUCACCGAACUCCAGAGGAAUUGGGGCCAGAAAAGAAAUUGCCAUACAAACAUAAAGCCCUUGUAUGUUGAGCUAAGCUUAGAUACCACUUGUCAUGCAAGCUUUAACCCCAACCAAGGUUUGAAAUUUUGCCGACAUUUCAACAAAAUAUGAAUAUUAACGACAGUCGAAGCAAAAAAAUGGCAUGGAAAUGAGAAAUUUUGAAUUGCCAAUUUAUUGA
Vitis vinifera (wine grape) is the source of this 1197-nucleotide long non-coding RNA. RefSeq lists it as uncharacterized. The record is from RefSeq and is a predicted model, not a curated record. NCBI's taxonomy places the organism in Eukaryota, Viridiplantae, Streptophyta, Magnoliopsida, Vitales, Vitaceae. The transcript is spliced from 5 exons.